This 414-nucleotide ribosomal RNA is filed under the name uncultured bacterium. Its description in RNAcentral is "bacterial SSU rRNA". It matches the Rfam family "Bacterial small subunit ribosomal RNA", at positions 385 to 793 of the family's 1533-position model. The record is from RNAcentral.
ACUGCAGCCAUGCCGCGUGUAGGAAGACUGCCCUAUCGGGUUGUAAACUGCGUUUAUACAGGAAGAACAGUCGUACGAGUACGACCUUGACGGUACUGUAAGAAUAAGCACCGGCUAACUCCGUGCCAGCAGCCGCGGUAAUACGGAGGGUGCAAGCGUUAUCCGGAAUCAUUGGGUUUAAAGGGGUCCGCAGGCGGUCAAUUAAGUCAGAGGUGAAAUCCCCAUAGCUUAACUAUGGAACUGCCUUUGAUACUGGUUGACUUGAGUUAUACGGAAGUAGAUAGAAUAAGUAGUGUAGCGGUGAAAUGCAUAGAUAUUACUUAGAAUACCGAUUGCGAAGGCAGUCUACUACGUAUAUACUGACGCUCAUGGACGAAAGCGUGGGGACGCGAACAGGAUUAGAUACCCUGGUAG